Molecule: ribosomal RNA, 503 nt
Filed under: uncultured bacterium
Lineage: Bacteria
Description: partial 16S ribosomal RNA
Rfam family: Bacterial small subunit ribosomal RNA
Source: RNAcentral
AUUGAACGCUGGCGGCAGGCUUAACACAUGCAAGUCGAGCGGAGUGAUGGUGCUUGCACUAUCACUUAGCGGCGGACGGGUGAGUAAUGCUUAGGAAUCUGCCUAUUAGUGGGGGACAACAUCUCGAAAGGGAUGCUAAUACCGCAUACGUCCUACGGGAGAAAGCAGGGGAUCACUUGUGACCUUGCGCUAAUAGAUGAGCCUAAGUCGGAUUAGCUAGUUGGUGGGGUAAAGGCCUACCAAGGCGACGAUCUGUAGCGGGUCUGAGAGGGUGAUCCGACACACUGGGACUGAGACACGGCCCAGACUCCUACGGGAGGCAGCAGUGGGGAAUAUUGGACAAUGGGGGGAACCCUGAUCCAGCCAUGCCGCGUGUGUGAAGAAGGCCUUAUGGUUGUAAAGCACUUUAAGCGAGGAGGAGGCUCUUUUGGUUAAUACCCAAGAUGAGUGGACGUUACUCGCAGAAUAAGCACCGGCUAACUCUGUGCCAGCCGCCGCAGUAA